GAUGAACGCUGGCGGCGCGCCUAACACAUGCAAGUCGAACGGCACCUAUCUUCGGAUAGAAGCGAGUGGCGAACGGCUGAGUAACACGUGGAGAACCUGCCCCCUCCCCCGGGAUAGCCGCCCGAAAGGACGGGUGAUACCGGAUACCUCGGGGUGCCGCAUGGCACCCCGGCUAAAGCCCCGACGGGAGGGGAUGGCUCCGCGGCCCAUCAGGUAGACGGCGGGGUGACGGCCCACCGUGCCGACAACGGGUAGCCGGGUUGAGAGACCGACCGGCCAGAUUGGGACUGAGACACGGCCCAGACUCCUGCGGGAGGCAGCAGUGGGGAAUCCUGCGCAAUGGGGGGAACCCUAACGCAGCGACGCCGCGUGCGGGACGGAGGCCUUCGGGUCGUAAACCGCUUUCAGCAGGGAAGAGUCAAGACUGUACCUGCAGAAGAAGCCCCGGCUAACUACGUGCCAGCAGCCGCGGUAAUACGUAGGGGGCGAGCGUUAUCCGGAUUCAUUGGGCGUAAAGCGCGCGUAGGCGGCCCGGCAGGCCGGGGGUCGAAGCGGGGGGCUCAACCCCCCGAAGCCCCCGGAACCUCCGCGGCUUGGGUCCGGUAGGGGAGGGUGGAACACCCGGUGUAGCGGUGGAAUGCGCAGAUAUUGGGUGGAACACCGGUGGCGAAGGCGGCCCUCUGGGCCGAGACCGACGCUGAGGCGCGAAAGCUGGGGGAGCGAACAGGAUUAGAUACCCUGGUAGUCCCAGCCGUA
Molecule: ribosomal RNA, 756 nt
Filed under: uncultured bacterium
Lineage: Bacteria
Description: bacterial SSU rRNA
Rfam family: Bacterial small subunit ribosomal RNA
Source: RNAcentral